Molecule: ribosomal RNA, 329 nt
Filed under: uncultured eukaryote
Lineage: Eukaryota
Description: partial 18S ribosomal RNA
Rfam family: Eukaryotic small subunit ribosomal RNA
Source: RNAcentral
CCCUUAGAUGUUCUGGGCCGCACGCGCGCUACACUGACGAUGGCAACGAGUUUUUCCUUCGCCGAAAGGUGUGGGUAAUCUUUUGAAACAUCGUCGUGCUGGGGAUAGAUCAUUGCAUUUUUUGAUCUUGAACGAGGAAUUCCUAGUAAGCGCGAGUCAUCAGCUCGCGUUGAUUACGUCCCUGCCCUUUGUACACACCGCCCGUCGCUACUACCGAUUGAAUGGUUUAGUGAGGACUCCUGAUUGGCGCCGCCGCCCCGGCAACGGAGCAGCGGACUGCCGAAAAGUUGUUCAAACUUGAUCAUUUAGAGGAAGUAAAAGUCGUAACA